GGACAUUGAUUGCACAGACUAAAGCAAAUAGUGCACACCACGUACACUUCCUCUCCGUCUCUACCACAGACACCUCCUCUCGGUCUAUGAACCACCGCCCUCUCCGUCUCUGAACCACCGCCCUCUGUCUUCCUCUCCGUCUCGGCGAACUCCGUAGCUGGACGUUUAUUCUACUUAUCAUUCCAUCUCUUAAGAACUUCAUCUGCGGUGAAGGUUUGUUCUUCAUACAUAUAUAAUCAAUUAUAUUUGAAGUUGUUUCUCUUCUGAAAAUAUAUGGAUAUGGGUUUGUUAUCCAUUGGUUAUUUAUCUUAAAUUUCAGUAAUUUAGUUGCUUAUAAGAAUUGAUUAAUUUGAUCUUUGUUUUAACUGCCUUUGUUGUGCUCUUUCUUUGGUUCCUGGUUGUUGUCUUUCUUUGCACGUAAUGUGUUUGAUCUGAGAGUUGUUUGAAAAAUUAAGUCAAUGUAAUUGCAUUCGGAGUUGUUUUUGACAAACAAUUCUCCAUAACUCAGCAUUAUGCUUAAAAACAUAGGGGAAUUCAGCAUAUGUGCUUUGUAGGUGCUACCUGAAUCAAGCACGGUCAUAUUAAUCGAAUGAGAUUUUUGUUUCCAAGCAAGUGUUUAGGUGAUAAAUUAAAUUUUAUUUUUUUUUAUGUUUAUUGUAUCAUGAUUUUACCUAGCCACAAUUUUGCAAUAUUUUUAACUACAGAACAGUUUUUGGUGUCCAUGUCUUGCUCUCUGACUAACACCUGAUUAGAGUUUAUAAGUUAACACCAUAAAUGUUUAAUACUCUUGCUAAGCUUUCCGCACUUUAUCUUUGAGGUUACUGUAUGACAUGCAUUGAUGCUUGACGCAGAGUUUCUGUAAGUGAAGAUUCAAGAUACAGGGUUUCAGAAUCUUAGUUAAUACUUCUUUGCUAAGGCCAGGACUCGCAAAGCAGUCAUUGUAGUUUUUUUCUUUCACACAAUUUUUAUUUGCAUCGUGGUUCAGGCUUAGUGCACAAAUUAAGUAUUAUUAACAGUCCUUGAACAGAUCAAAGAUGAAUAUUUUAUAAAUGCUAGGCUGUUUAACUUUGAGAAUGCUUCAAUUUGAAUUAUCCGUUUGUUGAAUUCUUUUUACUGUGUUGCUUAAACAUUCGGUUGCGACGACCACAUUUUUUUAGUACUGCCAAGUGCCAUGAGUCCGGGUGGAUAUUGUUUCUUAAUAUCCUGUCAUGAGAAAUACAUUUUGCAGAAUUGUUAAAGCCUCGUGCUUUUGUAGUAAUAGAAGAUAAUAGUAGAAUAGACGCAUAACUCCAUAAAAACACCCCUCCAGACUCCCUAUCCUUCCUGCAAACUUCUAGAGGUUUAAAUUUAGAGUUUUAUAUAAGCAUUACUAAUUCAUUGAGUAAUUUUAUGUUAUUAUAUGAAUUGUCAUUUAAUAGUAUCAUGGCCGCAUUUCGGAGUUUCAAACAACUUUCAGAUCAAACAGUUUACCUGCAUCAUUCAUUCUCAGUUUUUUCAUGGUUUUACCUCCCCUGCUAAAAGAACACACUCGGAUUGCUGACAGCCUUCAACAAUGCCUCUUCUGGGGAAAUAUUCAACCUUAACUUGCAAAAUAAAAUUAAAAGAAAAUUGAGGUCAUCAGGUUUAAAUUUGGGCCUCCCUUAUUAUGAGCUCUUAUACCACGAUAGCUGGUAAGUUGCCAAAUUUUCUAAUAUCUUAAUUAGAUGACAGGGAAUAAUGUUACUGUAGAAAGCAGACCAAUGGUAUAUUUUUGUUAGUUUCUAACUACCUUAAGUUUACUUAUAAUUUAUAGCAGCAUUAGUACCCUCAGGGAUCAGCGUUGGUUAGUCUUGAGUAUCUGAUGCAGAACCAAUCAAUAUUCAACAUGGCCUGGUUUGGGAAAUAGGAAUCAUGUUGCAUUUGGACUGGUCUAAUAGCCUGCCCAGGCUUUAAAUUAUAAACUAUGGUUGAAGUUUCUGGUUAAUUGACACAAAGAGUUAUGAACUAAUUUAUGGUAAUAGCCUGAAAACACAGACUACUCCAGAUCUUUUGUAUUUAUUAGACCUAAAAAAUUCACAAGAAAAGCCCGUGGUUUCUAACUAUCAGAGUUAGCUCCUGGCUCUUUUAAUUCUACUGUAUCGACUUCUUAUUCUUCCAUGGAUACUCUUUUUUCAGAGUUUCCUUCUGAAAAUCAAACUACUUAAACAACUUUUUAUACAAAAUUUAGUAAAAACGGAUAUGUUAAAGAAUAUCUAAGAAAAUUAACAUUGCUUCCAUUCAUAUGUUUUUCAGGGGAACAAGAAAACACAGACUACUCCAGAUCUUUUGUAAUUAUUAGACCUAAAAAAUGCACCAGAAAAGCCUGUGGCUUGAGAGUUUAAUUAUCAAUACAAUUGCCUAUUCUGGCUUGAGAGUUUAAUUAUCAAUACAAUUGCCUAUUCUGGCUUGAGAGUUUAAUUAUCAAUACAAUUGCCUAUUCUGGUGCCAAAUGAAUUGGAAAAGCAGGGUGUAAGAAAUUGAUUAAAUAAUUUCAAACUGAUAUUUUUAUAUUUGCUCAACUUAUCUGUGAUGACCUAUAGAAUUAUGCUCAAAUGAAUUGUGAAUUAUAUAGCUAACAGACAGCUCGGUGCAUCAAAAAAAUAUUUUCGACUCAUCUGUUGCAAAUCCUGCAAAUUCAGUGGCUACUAUCAGUGGAGAAAACGUUCAUAGAAGGAUGAUUCUGUCACACAUUAACUAUGACACAAAUAUGUAGCAUGAUUGUAGCUAGAAUAUAUUCUGUAUAUCUCCAUAUAUUUUCCCUUCCUGUAAUUAGCUGUAGUUAGUUGUCAAUAGCUUAGUCAGUGGCAAUCUUUUCUAUUUACCAUGUAUAACCAUAUGUAAAUGGCUAUAUAAAGGCCUGCAAUAGUUAAUGGAAAUAACAAGAAUUGUUUCAACAUUAAUAUGGUAUCAAGAGCCUCCGAUCUAUAAUUUUUUUUCCUCUUCAUUUUCUCUUCUCUUCUUCACUAUGGCCAACAAUCAACUAACCAAUGUUGCAGAUCCCACCAAGCCUUUUACGCUUCUCCACCUUCCCAACACCAUUAAACUUACUCCCACAAACUAUAUAGCCUGGAAAACACAACUUGAAGCACAACUCUUGGGACAUGAUCUUUAUAAGUAUGUCGAUGGUUCCUUUCCUUCACCUCCAGCCUCUAUCACCGACAGCGAUGGAAAAUCAAAAGCCAAUCCAGAUGCUCUCACUUGGUUCCGACAAGAUAGACUUGUAUUUGGGGCACUUGUUGGCACUCUUUCUCAAGAUUUAGUUCCGCUCGUCUCUCAUUCUGCUAGCUCUCAUGAAGCAUGGACAAUCCUCAGAUCUACUUACGCCAACCCCUCUCGAGGUCAUCUCAAACAAAUCAAAGAUCGCUUGGCAAAUCUGUCUAAGGGGUCUCUCACAAUUGCCGAAUAUAUGCAAGCGAUAAAACAAUGUACUGAUAGGCUUGCAUCAAUGGGAAAACCAAUGGACAAUGAGGAUAUUGUCGACAAAAUCCUUACCGGCCUUGAUUAUGAAGCUUACAAACCAAUUAUUGAUGCUGUUAACACUCGUGAUACAGUGAUUUCUUUUGAGGAACUACAUGAAAAGCUAAUAACGAGGGAAAUAAUUGUGAAUAAACAGCAUGAUGCAACUCCCACAUCCAUGUUCCCAGCUACUGCUAUGACUGCACGUUUCAGGCCAACUACUGUUAACAAGCAACCAUGGACUGCUCAACCUCCAUUAUUGCCUACUCCUCGUCAACAAUCACCUGCUCGGCCACAACGUCCAUACCUUGGAAAAUGUCAGUGGUGUCGAGUGCAAGGUCAUGCCUUGAACCAGUGUCCUUCAUUCAAAACACAAUUUCCCACAAUUCAAAUUCCUUCACCUACACAAGCUCGACCAGUUCAAGUUGGUCGCUACUCUAGAAAUACUCCUCAAGCACACAUGGCAACAUCUAGUCUCCCUUCUGCAAGUGGAUGGCUUCUUGAUAGUGGGGCUUCCCAUCAUGUGACAAAUGAUCUCAAUAAUCUGUCCAUUCAUGCUCCAUAUGACGGUACCGAGGAGUUAAUCAUAGGGGAUGGUUCUUCUCUACCCAUCUCUAAUACUGGUUCUUUCUCUAUUAUCACUCCUGCUCAAACUUUUAAAUUCUCUAAUGUCUUACAUGUUCCCACUAUCUCUCGUAAUAUAUUAUCUAUAUCUCAAUUUUGUCAUGAAAAUAACACCACAAUAGAAUUCUUACCUCUUCUUUUCCGUGUCAAGGAGCGUUUGAAGGGAACAACACUCCUCCAUGGACCAAAUAAAGCUGGGGUUUAUGAGUGGAAUCCAAGUCCUCCUAGAGUCUUCACAAGUUUCAAAACACCUAUUCACGAUUGGCACCAUAGGCUUGGGCAUCCAUCUAAUUCUGUUCUUAAGACUUUAAGUUCUAAUUUUUCUUUAUGUAUGCCAAAAUAUUUGUCAUCUCAUUGCAAUUCAUGCAAUAUUAAUAAAAGUCAUAAAUUACCUUUCUCCAAUUCUUCUCUUACUUCUACUGCACCUUUACAAUUAAUUUUCACUGAUGUUUGGUCAUCUCCUCUUCACUCCUAUGACAAUUUUAAAUACUAUGUGAUUUUUGUUGAUCAUUUCACCAAAUACACUUGGUUAUAUCCACUUAAAAAGAAAUCAGACACCCUUGAUGUUUUUAUACGAUUCAGAGCUUUGGUAGAAAAUUUUUUUAAGAGAGAAAUAAUACAAGUUUUUUCAGACAAUGGGGGGGAAUAUGUAAAACUACAUCAUUACCUAACUUCAAAUGGUAUAUCACACCUCACAUCACCUCCACACACCCCUGAACACAAUGGGUUUGCCGAACGUCGUCACAGGCACAUAGUUGAAACAGGUCUUGCUUUGCUAUCCCAUGCUAAUCUUCCUCUCACAUUUUGGACACAUGCUUUUGCUACCGCAACAUACUUGAUCAAUCGUCUCCCUACUCCUACUCUCAAUAAUGAUUCUCCAUUCUUAAGAUUAUUUGGUACCCCUCCAAAUUAUUAUAAACUUAAGAAUUUUGGUUGUCUCUGUUAUCCAUGGUUACGUCCAUAUGCUUCUCACAAGCUUGAAAAUAGGUCUCUGCCAUGUAUCUUUGUCGGUUACUCUUCCUCUCAAAGUGCAUAUUAUUGCUUACAUUUCCCAACAAAAAGAAUUUAUACAUCUCGUCAUGUCAAAUUUGUGGAUGAUAUUUUCCCAUACUCUGAUCUUCAAGGUACAACCACACCAAUCUCCAACCACACUUUCGAUGAGUGGUGUAAUAUCCAACUCCCUGUACUUUCCCAGUUCCCUAAUCAACCAGUGUUGCAAUCUACUGCUCCUCCACAAGAUCACCAAACUACACAUAUAUCUUCACCGAUUACAUCCUCAUCCUCUCCUACUACAACACCAUCACCUCCACCACCACCACCUCGCCGCAUUCUUCCUCGAACAAUAGUUACCCGAUCAAAAAAUAAUAUUGUCAAGCCUAACCCCAAAUUUUUGCACCAUGUCACUACUACUUCAUCUCCUCCUUGUGAACCUAGAAAUAUCACUCAGGCCCUCAAGGAUCCUCAAUGGCGUGAUGCCAUGACCAAGGAACAUGAUGCCCUUCUUCAAAAUGAUACAUGGGAAUUAAUACCUCCUGAUUCUUCUCAAAAUGUAGUAGGAUGCAAAUGGGUCUAUCGUAUCAAGUACAAACCAGACAAUAGUAUCGAAAGGUAUAAAGCUCGUUUGGUGGCAAAAGGUUUUCAUCAACGUCCCGGAAUAGAUUACUCCGAGACUUUCAGUCCAGUUAUCAAGCCUACAACGGUUCGUUUAAUGCUUUCUCUAGCAGUUAAUAAUGGUUGGUCUAUCAGACAACUUGACAUUAACAAUGCUUUUCUUCAAGGGCAUCUCAGUGAGGAUGUAUACAUGUCUCAACCUCCCGGAUUUAUUGACAAAGAUUAUCCUUCUUAUGUAUGCAAACUGAAGAAAUCAAUUUACGGCCUUAGACAAUCACCAAGAGUUUGGUACCAAGAGCUACGCAACUUUUUACUGAAUUAUGGUUUUCGAAAUUCAGUGGCAGACUCUUCACUAUUUAUUUACAAUCUGCAUAAGGUCAGCAUUUAUGUCCUGGUUUAUGUUGACGAUAUUAUUGUGAUGGGUCCGUCUUCUUCAGCGUUACAAGAUUUUAUCACUACACUUGCAGCUCGUUUUUCUUUAAAGGAUUUGGGUGAUCUAUCGUAUUUUCUUGGAGUAGAGGUACUGCCUCACCCUAAUGGCUUGUUCUUGUGCCAACAGAAGUACAUAAAUGAUAUACUUGUUCGUGCUAUGAUGAAAGAUGCUAAACCUGUUCCCACUCCCAUGGUCACCCAGCCUUCUUUAACACUAAAUGAUGGCACACCACUCAGCAAUCCCACUGAUUAUAGGGCACUUGUUGGUAGCCUUCAAUAUCUCUCGCUUACUAGACCCGAUGUAUCUUUUGUCGUAAAUCGCCUUUCGCAAUACAUGCACAAACCUACAGAUAUACAUUGGGCUGCCUUGAAGAGAUUGUUACGGUAUCUUAACGGCACUUCUCAUCAUGGUUUGGUUAUCAGUCGCAACUCUCCUCUUCUGCUACAUGCCUUUUCUGAUGCUGACUGGGCUGGUGACAGGGACACAUAUACCUCUACUACAGGCAACAUUGUUUUUCUUGGUCGUAAUCCUCUGUCAUGGAGCUCUAAGAAACAGAAAAGUCUAGCUCGAUCUUCAACCGAAGCAGAAUUUCGGGCUGUCGCUUCUACUACUGCUGAGAUUCUUUGGUUAAAGUCUCUACUUAAAGAACUAGGAGUUUGUAUACAACAAGUUCCUACCAUUUACUGUGAUAAUUUGGGUGCUACACAGUAUUCAGUCAAUCCAGUGUUCCAUUCACGUAUGAAACAUUUAGCGUUAGACUUUCAUUUUGUUCGGGAAGAAGUCCAACGUGGUUCUUUACGAGUUCAACACAUAUCUGGAAAAGACCAAUUAGCAGAUUCUCUUACAAAGCCUCUUGCCAGGACACGCUUUCAUGAUUUGUUUUCCAAGAUCGGUCUUACCCAAAGGCCGUCCGUCUUGCGGGGGCGUAUAGAAGGAUGAUUCUGUCACACAUUAACUAUGACACAAAUAUGUAGCAUGAUUGUAGCUAGAAUAUAUUCUGUAUAUCUCCAUAUAUUUUCCCUUCCUGUAAUUAGCUGUAGUUAGUUGUCAAUAGCUUAGUCAGUGGCAAUCUUUUCUAUUUACCAUGUAUAACCAUAUGUAAAUGGCUAUAUAAAGGCCUGCAAUAGUUAAUGGAAAUAACAAGAAUUGUUUCAACAUUAAUACCGGGGUCGCACUCAUCUGUUGAAUCUGAUACUUCUGAUGGUAGUAACGGUGAGACAUCGACUCAGUAUCAGGAAGAGGAGCGAGACGUGGAAAUGGAAGAUGAAUUGACUGAAGAACUUUAGAGAGGAGAUGCUUUGUCUGACUAUGACAUUACAUUGACUAAAGAAGGGGAAGCCAUAAAUGAGUAUCUGGCGUUGAUUGCUAUUGUGGAAGACAAAACUUAGAAAGUUCCAUCUUCAGAGUGACCGGUAACAAGUGAUAUAACUUCUACUAAUCUUGGCAAAAAUCAACUUAUCUCUGUAUUACCUGUCAAUUUUAUGAUCAUUACUUCAUGCAUUACUCAGCCAUUUACACCCUUUAUAAGUGUAAUUGUGUCUAUGCACCGGAGCCCCAAAUUAUGUAUAUAGAGAGGAUGCUUCCUUUCUUUUACCCCCUAAUCCAUAUCUUAUUUCAAAUAUGAUGAUCUCCCUGAAUCAUUAAUUCUUUAAAAACAUCAUCUGUUAUUAGUAUCUCCGUACAGAGUCGAGUACGGUUCUCUAUAGGUUUUUCGUAGUAUAAAUUGACAGCAGUCCUCAACCUUGAC
Molecule: long non-coding RNA, 7889 nt
Filed under: Daucus carota (carrot)
Lineage: Eukaryota; Viridiplantae; Streptophyta; Magnoliopsida; Apiales; Apiaceae
Description: long non-coding RNA (DCAR_LNC005557)
Source: RNAcentral